CCUACGGGAGGCAGCAGUGGGGAAUUUUGGACAAUGGGCGCAAGCCUGAUCCAGCCAUGCCGCGUGUGGGAAGAAGGCCUUCGGGUUGUAAACCACUUUUGUCAGGGAAGAAACGGUCUGGUCUAAUAAACCGGACUAAUGACGGUACCUGAAGAAUAAGCACCGGCUAACUACGUGCCAGCAGCCGCGGUAAUGCGUAGGGUGCGAGCGUUAAUCGGAAUUACUGGGCGUAAAGCGUGCGCAGGCGGCUUUGCAAGACAGGUGUGAAAUCCCCGGGCUCAACCUGGGAACUGCAUUUGUGACUGCAAGGCUAGAGUACGGCAGAGGGGGAUGGAAUUCCGCGUGUAGCAGUGAAAUGCGUAGAUAUGCGGAGGAACACCGAUGGCGAAGGCAAUCCCCUGGGCCUGUACUGACGCUCAUGCACGAAAGCGUGGGGAGCAAACAGGAUUAGAUACCCUGGUAGUCCACGCCCUAAACGAUGUCAACUGGUUGUUGGGAGGGUUUCUCUCAGUACGAGCUAACGCGUGAGUUGACCGCCUGGGGAGACGGCGCGAGUUAGACGUANAAUUAGAGUUGNGGNGNGAGAGNGCGAGCGACGACGAGGGAGGAGG
This 611-nucleotide ribosomal RNA is filed under the name uncultured bacterium. RNAcentral describes it as "bacterial SSU rRNA". The stretch from base 1 to 538 matches the Rfam family "Bacterial small subunit ribosomal RNA", at positions 338 to 873 of the family's 1533-position model. The record is from RNAcentral.